Molecule: long non-coding RNA, 317 nt
Filed under: Brassica napus (rape)
Lineage: Eukaryota; Viridiplantae; Streptophyta; Magnoliopsida; Brassicales; Brassicaceae
Description: long non-coding RNA (BNAP_LNC005860)
Source: RNAcentral
UCGAACUUCUAAAAAUGGCACUACAAGCAGAAGUUAAAAGAGUUGCUGAAAUAUUGAACUCUAUGAAAGUAAUGGGAGAUUUUAUUAUAACUCAUGGAUUGUUUAUCAAAUAUGUUAGCAAUUCUUUUUCAAAAAAAUAUAUGUUAGCAAUUCCAGUUUAGGUUGCUUCUGCAGAAUUUGUUUUUUAAAGUUGAAGUUGAUAAAAAUAUUUACGAUUUACUAUAUGUCACAAAAGAGACUGAAUGGGAACUAGAAGAUGUGUUUUUAACAAAUAAAAAUUUAUUAGGGUUACAUUUGAAAAAAAUGCUUCAGGCCAC